This 489-nucleotide ribosomal RNA is filed under the name uncultured bacterium. Its description in RNAcentral is "bacterial SSU rRNA". It matches the Rfam family "Bacterial small subunit ribosomal RNA", at positions 26 to 507 of the family's 1533-position model. The record is from RNAcentral.
AGGAUGAACGCUAGCGGGAGGCUUAACACAUGCAAGUCGAGGGGCAGCAUAGGGUAGCAAUACUCUGAUGGCGACCGGCAGACGGGUGAGUAACGCGUAUGUAACCUACCCUGUACAGGGGGAUAACCCGGAGAAAUUCGGACUAAUAUCCCAUGGAAAUAUUGAGAGGCAUCUUUUGAUAUUUAAAGUUCCGGCGGUACGGGAUGGGCAUGCGUAACAUUAGCUAGUUGGUAAGGUAACGGCUUACCAAGGCUUUGAUGUUUAGGGGUCCUGAGAGGGUGAUCCCCCACACUGGUACUGAGACACGGACCAGACUCCUACGGGAGGCAGCAGUGAGGAAUAUUGGUCAAUGGGCGCAAGCCUGAACCAGCCAUCCCGCGUGCAGGAAGACGGCGCUAUGCGUUGUAAACUGCUUUUCCAGGGGGAGAAACUUGCGUACGUGAUACGCAAUUGACGGUACCCUGGGAAUAAGCAUCGGCUAACUCCGUG